RNAcentral lists this ribosomal RNA (100 nucleotides) under Escherichia coli. The record is from RNAcentral. Lineage: Bacteria; Pseudomonadati; Pseudomonadota; Gammaproteobacteria; Enterobacterales; Enterobacteriaceae. RNAcentral also lists the same sequence under 4 other names.
CCUGGCGGCCGUAGCGCGGUGGUCCCACCUGACCCCAUGCCGAACUCAGAAGUGAAACGCCGUAGCGCCGAUGGUAGUGUGGGGUCUCCCCAUGCGAGAG